GACGAACGCUGGCGGCGUGCCUAAUACAUGCAAGUAGAACGCAGUUGCGAACGGGUGAGUAACGCGUAGGUAACUGCCUCAUAGCGGGGGAUAACUAUUGGAAACGAUAGCUAAUACCGCAUACUGUGAGCUGGACCUGCGUUGGAUUAGCUAGUUGGGGAGGUAAAGGGGCACCAAGGCGACGAUACAUAGCCGGCCUGAGCGGGUGAUCGGCCACACUGGGACUGAGAAAAGGCCCAAACUCCUUCGGGAGGCAGCAGUAGGGAAACAUCGGAAAUGGGCGGAAGUCUGACCGAGCAACGGCGGGGGAGUGAAGAAGGUUCUCGGGUCGUAAAGCUCUGUUGUGAGGGGAGCGGUAACUAACCAGAAAGCGACGGCUAACUACGUGCCAGCAGCCGCGGUAAUAC
Molecule: ribosomal RNA, 407 nt
Filed under: uncultured bacterium
Lineage: Bacteria
Description: partial 16S ribosomal RNA
Rfam family: Bacterial small subunit ribosomal RNA
Source: RNAcentral